UCAAAAAAAACUUUAUUGUCUUUAUUCCAGCCGGAGCAGGUUUGUGGACAGUGUCGCCCCCUUCAGGCUGUACGAUGGGCAGCAGGAAGGUGCCUCAGUGCAGGAACUCAGACAUAAUGCUCCAUGGAAAGUAUCUGACAAAGAAUUUGAGGCCUUUAAGCUCAAGUCUGAGAGAAAAGUGAGGCUGAAUGAAAUCAUUCGGAAGAAUUCACAACACACAGCUCUUGUUCUAGUGAGCCUUCCAGUUCCUCAAAGUGACUGUCCCAGUGCUCUCUACAUGGCCUGGCUGGACACCCUGACCUGUGGCCUUCACUGCCCUGCUGUUCUAAUACGAGGAAACCAACAGAAUGUCCUCACAUUCUACUGCCAGUAAAGCUUCACAAUUAAUAUCCAACAGCAAUGACGACCUGAUCUGUAAAUAAUUCUACGUGAAUCCCGUAAAAAAGUUUAAAAACAAUCCACUGGACUUGGUUUCCAAGGUUUGAAGAUGUUUCGCUUCCCCUCCAGGAAGCUUUUAUCAAUUCAAAUGUCUGGAACCGCAGUGAGUUUGAGGCUUUAUAUAGACAAGGCCUUGUAUUGCUUGGAAACAUGCAAAUUGAAACCGACGAGCAGUUUGUUUGGUUUCAUUGUUAGCCUGUAAUAUCUGAAACUUGUCCAUGAUUCUGAAUUCUACGUGAAUAUUUGAGAAAUUACAUGUAGAAUCGUAAACAUAAAAAGUGUAAAAAAAAAAGUUUAAAAAAGAGGCAACAUUUUCUCUCUAACUCAAGUCCUACCAUGUAUGGAUGCAACUUUAUCUAUGUAUAUGGGUCUUUAUCAACAGUCUUCAGAUCAAAGUUUAAAAAGCCAUAUUGCUUUUUUUAAUCAAGGGGAGGACCAAUCAAGUGAAGGAAAUAGAGAUGCAUGCAAUUGUAUUUAUUAUUUUCUUAGUUUUAUAUGUAUAUAUGUAGAUCUUAUUGACAUUGUCACUUUAAGUGUUGCUAGUAAGAAGUAGUGACUAGCUCAACAUUCCUUGACUUGCUUAACUCUUCCUUUAUUGACGCCUCCUUUAAUUCUUUAAUACUCAAAGUGUACCUCACCUUUUUUUCAACAUAUAAAUAUAGCCAAUUAAGUAAGUUUUUGUAAUUUUUCAUGUAUGAUUUUUUUCUUCUGCAAUUUGUGUUUUAAAACAUUCUCAGUGCCCUAAAUUGUUAAAUGGCUAUUAAUAUUAAUAUUCCUAUUUUACCAAACAACUGGUUUCAUCUUAGCAGUGCUUUUGAGGAUAAAUCCCACCAAUAGCUGCUACAGUAAGUCAGUGCUUUGAAGCAAGCGGCUUCAACUGAUUAGUCUCUGGUCCACCGGGCUCCAUAAAACCU
Cyprinodon variegatus (sheepshead minnow) is the source of this 1352-nucleotide long non-coding RNA. RefSeq lists it as uncharacterized. Lineage: Eukaryota; Metazoa; Chordata; Actinopteri; Cyprinodontiformes; Cyprinodontidae. The record is from RefSeq and is a predicted model, not a curated record. The transcript is spliced from 3 exons.